This 453-nucleotide ribosomal RNA is filed under the name uncultured bacterium. RNAcentral describes it as "bacterial SSU rRNA". It matches the Rfam family "Bacterial small subunit ribosomal RNA", at positions 29 to 523 of the family's 1533-position model. The record is from RNAcentral.
AGCGAACGCUGGCGGCAGGCUUAACACAUGCAAGUCGAGCGGGCGUAGCAAUACGUCAGCGGCAGACGGGUGAGUAACGCGUGGGAACAUACCUUUUGGUUCGGAACAACACAGGGAAACUUGUGCUAAUACCGGAUAAGCCCUUACGGGGAAAGAUUUAUCGCCGAAAGAUUGGCCCGCGUCUGAUUAGCUAGUUGGUGAGGUAACGGCUCACCAAGGCGACGAUCAGUAGCNGGUCUGAGAGGAUGAUCAGCCACAUUGGGACUGAGACAUGGCCCAAACUCCUACGGGAGGCAGCAGUGGGGAAUAUUGGACAAUGGGCGCAAGCCUGAUCCAGCCGUGCCGCGUGAGUGAUGAAGGCCCUAGGGUUGUAAAGCUCUUUUGUGCGGGAAGAUAAUGACGGUACCGCAAGAAUAAGCCCCCGGCUAACCUUCGUGCCAGCCGCCGCUGUAA